RNAcentral lists this ribosomal RNA (585 nucleotides) under uncultured bacterium. RNAcentral describes it as "bacterial SSU rRNA". It matches the Rfam family "Bacterial small subunit ribosomal RNA", at positions 338 to 916 of the family's 1533-position model. The record is from RNAcentral.
CCUACGGGAGGCAGCAGUGGGGAAUUUUGGACAAUGGGCGAAAGCCUGAUCCAGCAAUGCCGCGUGCAGGAUGAAGGCCUUCGGGUUGUAAACUGCUUUUGUACGGAACGAAACGGUCUUUUCUAAUACAGAAGGCUAAUGACGGUACCGUAAGAAUAAGCACCGGCUAACUACGUGCCAGCAGCCGCGGUAAUACGUAGGGUGCAAGCGUUAAUCGGAAUUACUGGGCGUAAAGCGUGCGCAGGCGGUUAUGUAAGACAGUUGUGAAAUCCCCGGGCUCAACCUGGGAAUUGCAUCUGUGACUGCAUAGCUAGAGUACGGUAGAGGGGGAUGGAAUUCCGCGUGUAGCAGUGAAAUGCGUAGAUAUGCGGAGGAACACCGAUGGCGAAGGCAAUCCCCUGGACCUGUACUGACGCUCAUGCACGAAAGCGUGGGGAGCAAACAGGAUUAGAUACCCUGGUAGUCCACGCCCUAAACGAUGUCAACUGGUUGUUGGGUCUUCACUGACUCAGUAACGAAGCUAACGCGUGAAGUUGACCGCCUGGGGAGUACGGCCGCAAGGUUGAAACUUAAAGGAAUUGACGG